Molecule: ribosomal RNA, 1458 nt
Filed under: uncultured organism
Description: SSU rRNA
Rfam family: Bacterial small subunit ribosomal RNA
Source: RNAcentral
GGCGUGCCUAAUACAUGCAAGUCGAACGCUUCUUUUUCCACCGGAGCUUGCUCCACCGGAAAAAGAGGAGUGGCGAACGGGUGAGUAACACGUGGGUAACCUGCCCAUCAGAAGGGGAUAACACUUGGAAACAGGUGCUAAUACCGUAUAACAAUCGAAACCGCAUGGUUUUGAUUUGAAAGGCGCUUUCGGGUGUCGCUGAUGGAUGGACCCGCGGUGCAUUAGCUAGUUGGUGAGGUAACGGCUCACCAAGGCCACGAUGCAUAGCCGACCUGAGAGGGUGAUCGGCCACAUUGGGACUGAGACACGGCCCAAACUCCUACGGGAGGCAGCAGUAGGGAAUCUUCGGCAAUGGACGAAAGUCUGACCGAGCAACGCCGCGUGAGUGCAGAAGGUUUUCGGAUCGUAAAACUCUGUUGUUAGAGAAGAACAAGGAUGAGAGUAACUGUUCAUCCCUUGACGGUAUCUAACCAGAAAGCCACGGCUAACUACGUGCCAGCAGCCGCGGUAAUACGUAGGUGGCAAGCGUUGUCCGGAUUUAUUGGGCGUAAAGCGAGCGCAGGCGGUUUCUUAAGUCUGAUGUGAAAGCCCCCGGCUCAACCGGGGAGGGUCAUUGGAAACUGGGAGACUUGAGUGCAGAAGAGGAGAGUGGAAUUCCAUGUGUAGCGGUGAAAUGCGUAGAUAUAUGGAGGAACACCAGUGGCGAAGGCGGCUCUCUGGUCUGUAACUGACGCUGAGGCUCGAAAGCGUGGGGAGCCAACAGGAAUUAGAUACCCUGGUAGUCCACGCCGUAAACGAUGAGUGCUAAGUGUUGGAGGGUUUCCGCCUUUCAGUGUUGCAGGCUAACGCAUUAAGCACUCCGCCUGGGGGAGUACGACCGCAAGGUUGAAACUCAAAGGAAUUGACGGGGGCCCGCACAAGCGGUGGAGCAUGUGGUUUAAUUUGAAGCAACGCGAAGAACCUUACCAGGUCUUGACAUCCUUUGACCACUCUAGAGAUAGAGCUUCCCCUUCGGGGGCAAAGUGACAGGUGGUGCAUGGUUGUCGUCAGCUCGUGUCGUGAGAUGUUGGGUUAAGUCCCGCAACGAGCGCAACCCUUAUUGUUAGUUGCCAUCAUUCAGUUGGGCACUCUAGCAAGACUGCCGGUGACAAACCGGAGGAAGGUGGGGAUGACGUCAAAUCAUCAUGCCCCUUAUGACCUGGGCUACACACGUGCUACAAUGGGAAGUACAACGAGUCGCGAAGUCGCGAGGCUAAGCUAAUCUCUUAAAGCUUCUCUCAGUUCGGAUUGCAGGCUGCAACUCGCCUGCAUAAAGCCGGAAUCGCUAGUAAUCGCGGAUCAGCACGCCGCGGUGAAUACGUUCCCGGGCCUUGUACACACCGCCCGUCACACCACGAGAGUUUGUAACACCCGAAGUAAGUGAGGUAACCUUUUGGAGCCAGCCGCCUAAGGUGGGAU